GAUGAACGCUGGCGGCGUGCUUAACACAUGCAAGUCGAACGGAAAGGCUCCUGCUUGCAGGGGUACUCGAGUGGCGAACGGGUGAGUAACACGUGGGUGAUCUGCCCUGCACUUCGGGAUAAGCCUGGGGAACUGGGUCUAAUACCGGAUAGGACGAUGGUUUGGAUGCCAUUGUGGAAAGUUUUUCGGUGUGGGAUGAGCUCGCGGCCUAUCAGCUUGUUGGUGGGGUAAUGGCCUACCAAGGCGUCGACGGGUAGCCGGCCUGAGAGGGUGUACGGCCACAUUGGGACUGAGAUACGGCCCAGACUCCUACGGGAGGCAGCAGUGGGGAAUAUUGCACAAUGGGCGCAAGCCUGAUGCAGCGACGCCGCGUGGGGGAUGACGGCCUUCGGGUUGUAAACUCCUUUCGCUAGGGGCGAAGCGCAAGUGACGGUACCUGGAGAAGAAGCACCGGCUAACUACGUGCCAGCAGCCGCGGUAAUACGUAGGGUGCGAGCGUUGUCCGGAAUUACUGGGCGUAAAGAGCUCGUAGGUGGUUUGUCGCGUCGUUUGUGUAAGCCCGCAGCUUAACUGCGGGACUGCAGGCGAUACGGGCAUAACUUGAGUGCUGUAGGGGAGACUGGAAUUCCUGGUGUAGCGGUGGAAUGCGCAGAUAUCAGGAGGAACACCGAUGGCGAAGGCAGGUCUCUGGGCAGUAACUGACGCUGAGGAGCGAAAGCAUGGGUAGCGAACAGGAUUAGAUACCCUGGUAGUCCAUGCCGUAAACGGGGGGCGCUAGGUGUGAGUCCCUUCCACGGGGUUCGUGCCGUAGCUAACGCAUUAAGCGCCCCGCCUGGGGAGUACGGCCGCAAGGCUAAAACUCAAAGGAAUUGACGGGGGCCCGCACAAGCGGCGGAGCAUGUGGAUUAAUUCGAUGCAACGCGAAGAACCUUACCUGGGCUUGACAUACACCAGACCGGGCCAGAGAUGGUCUUUCCCUUUGUGGUUGGUGUACAGGUGGUGCAUGGUCGUCGUCAGCUCGUGUCGUGAGAUGUUGGGUUAAGUCCCGCAACGAGCGCAACCCUUGUCUUAUGUUGCCAGCACGUUAUGGUGGGGACUCGUGAGAGACUGCCGGGGUUAACUCGGAGGAAGGUGGGGAUGACGUCAAAUCAUCAUGCCCCUUAUGUCCAGGGCUUCACACAUGCUACAAUGGUCGGUACAACGCGUCUGCGAGCCUGUGAGGGUGAGCUAAUCGCUGUAAAGCCGGUCGUAGUUCGGAUUGGGGUCUGCAACUCGACCCCAUGAAGUCGGAGUCGCUAGUAAUCGCAGAUCAGCAACGCUGCGGUGAAUACGUUCCCGGGCCU
Molecule: ribosomal RNA, 1343 nt
Filed under: uncultured bacterium
Lineage: Bacteria
Description: bacterial SSU rRNA
Rfam family: Bacterial small subunit ribosomal RNA
Source: RNAcentral